CCUACGGGAGGCAGCAGUAAGGAAUAUUGGUCAAUGGGCGCAAGCCUGAACCAGCCAUGCCGCGUGCAGGAUGACGGCCCUCUGGGUUGUAAACUGCUUUUAUACGGGAAGAACAGCAUCUACGUGUAGGUGUUUGACGGUACUGUAAGAAUAAGGACCGGCUAACUUCGUGCCAGCAGCCGCGGUAAUACGAAGGGUCCAAGCGUUAUCCGGAUUUAUUGGGUUUAAAGGGUGCGUAGGCGGCUUUUUAAGUCAGUGGUGAAAGCCUGAUGCUCAACAUCAGAACUGCCAUUGAUACUGAAGAGCUUGAGUACAGUUGAGGUUGGCGGAAUGUGUCAUGUAGCGGUGAAAUGCUUAGAUAUGACACAGAACACCGAUUGCGAAGGCAGCUAGCUAAGCUGUUACUGACGCUGAUGCACGAAAGCGUGGGGAGCAAACAGGAUUAGAUACCCUGGUAGUCCACGCCCUAAACGUUGAUAACUCGUUGUUAGCGAUAUACUGUUAGCGACCAAGCGAAAGCAUUAAGUUAUCCAACCUGGGAAGUUACGGUUCGCAAGAUUGAAACUUAAAGGAAUUGACGGG
RNAcentral lists this ribosomal RNA (582 nucleotides) under uncultured bacterium. Its description in RNAcentral is "bacterial SSU rRNA". It matches the Rfam family "Bacterial small subunit ribosomal RNA", at positions 338 to 917 of the family's 1533-position model. The record is from RNAcentral.